GUCACGGGUCGAAUAAAAGGUAGUUCGCUGGGUAUAUGUCUCUAUGUCCUUUGCCCAGAGGUGCAGGUUCGAAUCCAGCUCGUGACA
Molecule: transfer RNA, 87 nt
Filed under: Hibiscus cannabinus
Lineage: Eukaryota; Viridiplantae; Streptophyta; Magnoliopsida; Malvales; Malvaceae
Description: tRNA-Ile
Source: RNAcentral